GGAGAGGUGUCCGAGUGGCUUAAGGAGCCCGUCUUGAAAACGGGUGAGCCGAUGAGGCCCGCGGGUUCGAAUCCCGCCCUCUCCGCAA
Molecule: transfer RNA, 88 nt
Filed under: Chthonomonadales bacterium
Lineage: Bacteria; Bacillati; Armatimonadota; Chthonomonadia; Chthonomonadales
Description: tRNA-Ser
Rfam family: tRNA
About the family: Transfer RNA (tRNA) molecules are approximately 80 nucleotides in length. Their secondary structure includes four short double-helical elements and three loops (D, anti-codon, and T loops). Further hydrogen bonds mediate the characteristic L-shaped molecular structure. tRNAs have two regions of fundamental functional importance: the anti-codon, which is responsible for specific mRNA codon recognition, and the 3' end, to which the tRNAs corresponding amino acid is attached (by aminoacyl-tRNA synthetases). tRNAs cope with the degeneracy of the genetic code in two manners: having more than one tRNA (with a specific anti-codon) for a particular amino acid; and 'wobble' base-pairing, i.e. permitting non-standard base-pairing at the 3rd anti-codon position.
Source: RNAcentral